GAACGGCGGACUGUUAAUCCGUAUGUCACUGGUUCGAGUCCAGUCAGAGGAGCCAUAUUAGAGAAGCCCGCUU
Molecule: transfer RNA, 73 nt
Filed under: Yersinia enterocolitica (type O:5,27) str. YE149/02
Lineage: Bacteria; Pseudomonadati; Pseudomonadota; Gammaproteobacteria; Enterobacterales; Yersiniaceae
Description: transfer RNA-Asn
Rfam family: tRNA (bases 1-52)
About the family: Transfer RNA (tRNA) molecules are approximately 80 nucleotides in length. Their secondary structure includes four short double-helical elements and three loops (D, anti-codon, and T loops). Further hydrogen bonds mediate the characteristic L-shaped molecular structure. tRNAs have two regions of fundamental functional importance: the anti-codon, which is responsible for specific mRNA codon recognition, and the 3' end, to which the tRNAs corresponding amino acid is attached (by aminoacyl-tRNA synthetases). tRNAs cope with the degeneracy of the genetic code in two manners: having more than one tRNA (with a specific anti-codon) for a particular amino acid; and 'wobble' base-pairing, i.e. permitting non-standard base-pairing at the 3rd anti-codon position.
Source: RNAcentral